UCCCUGGUGGUCCAGUGGUUAGGACUCAGCACUCUUACUGCAGGGGCCCCAGGUUCUAUCCCUGGUCAGGAAA
Ovis aries (sheep) is the source of this 73-nucleotide non-coding RNA. NCBI's taxonomy places the organism in Eukaryota, Metazoa, Chordata, Mammalia, Artiodactyla, Bovidae. The record is from Rfam.